RNAcentral lists this ribosomal RNA (426 nucleotides) under uncultured delta proteobacterium. RNAcentral describes it as "bacterial SSU rRNA". It matches the Rfam family "Bacterial small subunit ribosomal RNA", at positions 9 to 423 of the family's 1533-position model. Lineage: Bacteria; Deltaproteobacteria. The record is from RNAcentral.
GAGUUUGAUCAUGGCUCAGAGCGAACGUUAGCGGCGGGCCUAACACAUGCAAGUCGAGCGAGAAAGGGGCUUCGGCCCUGAGUAAAGCGGCGGACGGGUGAGUAACACGUAGGUAAUCUUCCCUUGAGCGGGGGACAACGAGCCGAAAGGCUCGCUAAUACCGCAUACGUUUCCAGAGGCCCCGGUCUUUGGAAGGAAAGCUAGGCCGCAAGGUCCGGCACUCGAGGAGGAGCCUGCGUCGCAUCAGCUAGUUGGUGGGGUAACGGCCCACCAAGGCGAAGACGCGUAGCUGGUCUGAGAGGAUGAUCAGCCACACUGGGACUGAGACACGGCCCAGACUCCUACGGGAGGCAGCAGUGGGGAAUAUUGGAUAAUGGGCGCAAGCCUGAUCCAGCCACGCCGCGUGAGUGAUGAAGGCCUUCGGUC